GCAGGUUUUGGACAUUUAGUUUCUGUUUGUGACAUUUUUACUGUUUCCAUAAACGUAUUGCAAGACAAGGUCCUCAACUUAUGGUUGAUCUUGACCGACCGUACUCCAAAUUAAUCAACUCUGAAUCCUUCCAAAUUCACACUGAAUCCUUUUUUCAUUUACAUCUUUUUUAUGACAAAUAAAUGAGUGAAUUUCUAUUCAACUUAAGAACUUGGUAAAUUCAUUUCA
Long non-coding RNA from Mangifera indica (mango), 228 nucleotides. RefSeq lists it as uncharacterized. The transcript has 2 exons. NCBI's taxonomy places the organism in Eukaryota, Viridiplantae, Streptophyta, Magnoliopsida, Sapindales, Anacardiaceae. The record is from RefSeq and is a predicted model, not a curated record.